Molecule: ribosomal RNA, 425 nt
Filed under: uncultured bacterium
Lineage: Bacteria
Description: bacterial SSU rRNA
Rfam family: Bacterial small subunit ribosomal RNA
Source: RNAcentral
GGGGAAUUUUGGACAAUGGGGGCAACCCUGAUCCAGCCAUUCCGCGUGAGUGAAGAAGGCCUUCGGGUUGUAAAGCUCUUUUGUCCGGAGCGAAACGGUACGGGUGAAUAUCCCGUGCUACUGACGGUACCGGAAGAAUAAGCACCGGCUAACUACGUGCCAGCAGCCGCGGUAAUACGUAGGGUGCGAGCGUUAAUCGGAAUUACUGGGCGUAAAGCGUGCGCAGGCGGUUGUGUAAGCCAGAUGUGAAAUCCCCGGGCUUAACCUGGGAAUGGCAUUUGGGACUGCACGGCUUGAGUGUGGCAGAGGGGACUAGAAUUCCUGGUGUAGCAGUGAAAUGCGUAGAUAUCAGGAGGAAUACCGAUGGCGAAGGCAGGUCCCUGGGUUAACACUGACGCUCAUGCACGAAAGCGUGGGGAGCAAAC